UACGUAGGGGGCUAGCGUUGUCCGGAUUUAUUGGGCGUAAAGAGCGCGUAGGCGGCCGAGUAAGUCCGACGUGAAAUCUGGAGGCUCAACCUCCAGCGGUCGUUGGAAACUACUCGGCUAGAGUCCGGAAGAGGAGAGUGGAAUUCCUGGUGUAGCGGUGAAAUGCGUAGAUAUCUGGAGGAACACCGGUGGCGAAGGCGACAUCCUGGACCGGUAUUGACGCUGAGGCGCGAAAGCCAGGGGAGCAAACGGG
RNAcentral lists this ribosomal RNA (253 nucleotides) under uncultured bacterium. RNAcentral describes it as "partial 16S ribosomal RNA". It matches the Rfam family "Bacterial small subunit ribosomal RNA", at positions 524 to 776 of the family's 1533-position model. The record is from RNAcentral.